UCUAGCUUAACAACUAAUUCUAUAACUAAAAACUAUAACUAAAAAGCCCGAGGGAGCCUCUUGGCGCCUAUGUGCGCACCCCCCCAGCACCUCCAGAGAGGACUAUCUAGUUUCCUGGCCAAUGCGCUGAGAAGAGUGUUGGUACUACUCAUUAGCCUGCGCAUCAUGGACGCGGCACGCUUGCGCAUGAUCGCGUAGAAAUCAUCCACGCGAGCAUCCGCAAACAUUGCCGACGCACUGCAGUGUCGAGGCUUCCUCAACACCGCUCUCAGCACAUUGUUAUAUUGAACACGCAAGGCACUGUAGGUCCGCUGCCCGUAGUCCGUCCACAGACUGCACGUGUACUACUAGUUUAUCCC
Maniola jurtina (meadow brown) is the source of this 359-nucleotide long non-coding RNA. RefSeq lists it as uncharacterized. The transcript has 3 exons. The record is from RefSeq and is a predicted model, not a curated record. Lineage: Eukaryota; Metazoa; Arthropoda; Insecta; Lepidoptera; Nymphalidae.